GACGAACGCUGGCGGCGUGCCUAAUACAUGCAAGUUGAGCGCUGAAGGUUGGUACUUGUACCAACUGGAUGAGCAGCGAACGGGUGAGUAACGCGUGGGGAAUCUGCCUUUGAGCGGGGGACAACAUUUGGAAACGAAUGCUAAUACCGCAUAAAAACUUUAAACACAAGUUUUAAGUUUGAAAGAUGCAAUUGCAUCACUCAAAGAUGAUCCCGCGUUGUAUUAGCUGGUUGGUGAGGUAAAGGCUCACCAAGGCGAUGAUACAUAGCCGACCUGAGAGGGUGAUCGGCCACAUUGGGACUGAGACACGGCCCAAACUCCUACGGGAGGCAGCAGUAGGGAAUCUUCGGCAAUGGACGAAAGUCUGACCGAGCAACGCCGCGUGAGUGAAGAAGGUUUUCGGAUCGUAAAACUCUGUUGGUAGAGAAGAACGUUGGUGAGAGUGGAAAGCUCAUCAAGUGACGGUAACUACCCAGAAAGGGACGGCUAACUACGUG
RNAcentral lists this ribosomal RNA (497 nucleotides) under uncultured bacterium. RNAcentral's name for it is "partial 16S ribosomal RNA". It matches the Rfam family "Bacterial small subunit ribosomal RNA", at positions 28 to 507 of the family's 1533-position model. The record is from RNAcentral.